Molecule: long non-coding RNA, 899 nt
Organism: Bubalus bubalis (water buffalo)
Lineage: Eukaryota; Metazoa; Chordata; Mammalia; Artiodactyla; Bovidae
Exons: 2
Source: RefSeq, a predicted model, not a curated record
AAUGCUCCUGUUUUAUUCAGAAUAAAGUUCAAUCUCACUUUCAUAUUGCAAUAGCCUUGAAUAAAGUUUUUUUUUUUUCCUGUAUAAAUCUAACUGGUGUAAAUAUUUUUGACAGUGAUGGUUCUGUGACUUGAAGAGGACUAGAUUCACCAUUAGACCUUGUAUCUCACACCUAGAACCCUACAUGUAUUAAAGUAUUUAUCUUCAUUCCCAACUGACUGAUUGAGGAUCCAUUGAAUUAGAGUUCUUAUAAGAACGGACACCAGAGAUCCCUCUCUCCCCCACUAUUUCUGCUCAGAGAAAUAGUCACGUGAAGAAGCAGCAAGAAGGUGGCCAUCUGAAAGUCCAGAAGAGAGAUCUCAUGGGAAAAAAAAAAAACCCCUCUGGUCAUUGAUAUGGGACUAUCAGCUUCCAGAGUUGUAUGAAAAUAAAUAUCUGGUGUUCGAGCCAAAUAGUCUGUGGCAUUCUAUUAUGGCAGUCUCAGAAGACGAAAACAGAACUUAAUACUGUGAAUGGGGUGCUGCUGUAACAAAUACCUAAGAAUGUGUAAGUGACUUUGGAACUGGCAUUGAUAAAGACUUGAGUUUACAGAUAAAUAAUAGAAAAAGCCUACAUUGUAUUUAAGGGUCUGUUGGAUGUUAAAAGCAAUUUUAGAGAGACUUAGACAGAAAUGAGGAACAUGUUAUUGAAAAUUGAAGGAAAGAGGAUCUUGUUUUAAAAUGAUGAAAAAACUUAGCUGAACAGUAUGCUAGUGUCUUGUGGAAAGUAGAACUUGGGAGCUAUGAAAUUAGAUAUUUAGCUGAGAUUUUUAAGCACAGUAUUGAAGAUGCUUCCUUCUCCUUUCUGCUUAUUGUAAAAAUGUGAAAUCAAAGUCAUAAAUUGAAGAAGUUAAGUAAAAA